Molecule: non-coding RNA, 27 nt
Filed under: Homo sapiens (human)
Lineage: Eukaryota; Metazoa; Chordata; Mammalia; Primates; Hominidae
Source: RNAcentral
UUCUAGACAUCCAGCAGGAGUGACCAU